RNAcentral lists this ribosomal RNA (468 nucleotides) under uncultured bacterium. RNAcentral describes it as "partial 16S ribosomal RNA". It matches the Rfam family "Bacterial small subunit ribosomal RNA", at positions 28 to 507 of the family's 1533-position model. The record is from RNAcentral.
GACGAACGCUGGCGGCGUGCUUAACACAUGCAAGUCGAACGGAAAGGCCCUGCUUUUGUGGGGUGCUCGAGUGGCGAACGGGUGAGUAACACGUGAGUAACCUGCCCUUGACUUUGGGAUAACUUCAGGAAACUGGGGCUAAUACCGGAUAGGAGCUCCUGCUGCAUGGUGGGGGUUGGAAAGUUUCGGCGGUUGGGGAUGGACUCGCGGCUUAUCAGCUUGUUGGUGGGGUAGUGGCUUACCAAGGCUUUGACGGGUAGCCGGCCGGAGAGGGUGACCGGCCACAUGGGGACUGAGCUACGGCCCAGACUCCUACGGGAGGCAGCAGUGGGGAAUAUUGCACAAUGGGCGGAAGCCUGAUGCAGCAACGCCGCGUGCGGGAUGACGGCCUUCGGGUUGUAAACCGCUUUCGCCUGUGACGAAGCGUGAGUGACGGUAAUGGGUAAAGAAGCACCGGCUAACUACGUG